Molecule: long non-coding RNA, 565 nt
Filed under: Durio zibethinus
Lineage: Eukaryota; Viridiplantae; Streptophyta; Magnoliopsida; Malvales; Malvaceae
Description: long non-coding RNA (DZIB_LNC001526)
Source: RNAcentral
GCUGAUUCAAGCAGCAUAAAGAAAGCUUUGUCAAUCUCAUCCCCAACCCAUGGCUCAUUUUUUCAUUUUUCUGAUAGAUCUAAUCAUUCUCAUCCGAAUUUUGUUCGAAUUUUCAAGUGAAAAAGAUUUGGUGUGGGGCCUUGUCGAAAUUCAUGAUCCUGUUAGGGCAGUUGAGGCUCCGUUUGGGCCCCAUUUCGAACCAAUCAUCUGCCAUUGUUUCCAUGCAAGUUGUUACAUUUAUGAUCACGUUGGCUGUCCAUUUAAGACCUAAUUAUUAAACCCCGCAAUAUCCAUAUAUCCAUGCAAUGUAAUGAAUGUCACUUUCCAAUGUUUUGGAUAUUGGUGCUACAUGUUAGCAAGAACGAGCUGGAUUGGUUGGCAAUGGCUGCAAGCAAAUGCUAAGCCUACAUUUAGUUGAAAAUGAAUCAUAGAUAUAUUCACAUUAAAUAAUACGGUCCAAAUUAUUUGUCUUAAAAUAAAUAAGACAGGAAGAUCAUUUUCAGAUCUUGUCUAAAUCUAUAUUUUUUUCCAAGACAAUCUUAAAGGCGCAUUUAUAAUUAGAGAG